This 260-nucleotide long non-coding RNA is filed under the name Elaeis guineensis (African oil palm). Its description in RNAcentral is "long non-coding RNA (EGUI_LNC024293)". Lineage: Eukaryota; Viridiplantae; Streptophyta; Magnoliopsida; Arecales; Arecaceae. The record is from RNAcentral.
GAUCAAAGGCCUUUUCUUGAAUCAUUGCCUCUUCUUCUUUAUAAGCAUUUUGAAUCUUCUUGUGAUUAGGGCCAUCUCUUUAUUCUUAUCAGCUUCAUCCAAUUCAUCACUCUCCUCCUUAUCCUUACUUCAAGAUGAUGGUUUUCUUCUUCCUUGACUUCUCUUCAAAGCUUUGUCUCAUGUUCAGCUUGUGAGUUAUUAAGGAUCCAAUAAGUUCCUCCAAAGCUAGCUUAUUCAAAUUUUUUACUUUUUGUAUUACC